UUGCGCUAAGCGGGGGACUGGCGGUACCCUGAACCCACAAUCCGCCAUAGUGGGGCUGAAUUCCCGCCCGAGGAUUCGUCGCUUGGCGUCUGACCCACGUAAGCGGUGAUGAAGGUUGGGUCCCGCGCAAGGAGACAGCUGCUGAACCCCGUCAGGCCCGGAAGGGAGCAGCGGUAGGCAGCACGUCAACUGUGCCGCGGAUCACCUGACCGGAGCUGGCUGCGAGGGUAACGGUCGGGCGGCGUCUUCGACGACCGGGUGCGCAA
RNAcentral lists this signal recognition particle RNA (266 nucleotides) under Armatimonadia bacterium. RNAcentral's name for it is "signal recognition particle sRNA large type". It matches the Rfam family "Bacterial large signal recognition particle RNA". Rfam says of the family: The signal recognition particle (SRP) is a universally conserved ribonucleoprotein involved in the co-translational targeting of proteins to membranes. The record is from RNAcentral. Lineage: Bacteria; Bacillati; Armatimonadota; Armatimonadia.